CACGUGGACACGGCUCUCUGUCCCGCGGUCGGGUGCCCAGGACGGAGAGCAGGGGUGGGGCGGGCCGAUUCCUGCUAGGCUCCAGAACUAGACCGGAGCUGGCUUAACAGGGCUGUGCUUGGGAUAGGGCUCCCCCCAUCCUCAGGCAGUUGAACUCUGCACUGAGUCGCCUGGUCGCCUGCCCACUGGACUCCGCUUGCUGCAAUUCCCUCACUGAAGCACUGGUGCCCCCUCCACCUGGAAGGGACAGGUGUGUCCCCUUCUAAAGACAAAUCUUGCCAUCUCUCUGAGAACUAGCCUGCUGGAGGAUGAAAGACCUACGGAGCAGAGCUGAGUCCUCGCAGCUGAGGCCACCCUGACCAGACAGCCUUCAGUUACUGCAGAGGCCCAAGCAAGUCCACAUGAGAUCAGCCAGGCUCGGUUCAGAUCAGCAGAGCCACCACCCAACUGAGAGAUUCAUUAGAAACAAUAUUGGGUCAGUCAAAAAGUCUGUGUGAUUUUUUUCUGUAAAAUAAAAGACACGUUUUUCAUUCUCACCAA
Long non-coding RNA from Phyllostomus hastatus (greater spear-nosed bat), 540 nucleotides. RefSeq lists it as uncharacterized. Lineage: Eukaryota; Metazoa; Chordata; Mammalia; Chiroptera; Phyllostomidae. The record is from RefSeq and is a predicted model, not a curated record. The transcript is spliced from 2 exons.